This 520-nucleotide unclassified non-coding RNA is filed under the name uncultured Glomus. RNAcentral describes it as "SSU rRNA". It matches the Rfam family "Eukaryotic small subunit ribosomal RNA", at positions 569 to 1091 of the family's 1831-position model. Lineage: Eukaryota; Fungi; Glomeromycota; Glomeromycetes; Glomerales; Glomeraceae. RNAcentral also lists the same sequence under 1 other name. The record is from RNAcentral.
AGCAGCCGCGGUAAUUCCAGCUCCAAUAGCGUAUAUUAAAGUUGCUGCAGUUAAAAAGCUCGUAGUUGAAUUUCGGGACCAUCAUGUUGGUCGUGCCUCGGUACGUACUGGCAUUGUUGGUUUCUCCCUUCUGACGAACCAUGAUGUCAUUUAUUUGGUGUCGUGGGAAAUCAGGACUGUUACUUUGAAAAAAUUAGAGUGUUUAAAGCAGGCUCACGCUUGAAUACAUUAGCAUGGAAUAAUGAAAUAGGACGUUUGAUUCUAUUUUGUUGGUUUCUAGGAUCGACGUAAUGAUUAAUAGGGAUAGUUGGGGGCAUUAGUAUUCAAUUGUCAGAGGUGAAAUUCUUGGAUUUAUUGAAGACUAACUACUGCGAAAGCAUUUGCCAAGGAUGUUUUCAUUAAUCAAGAACGAAAGUUAGGGGAUCGAAGACGAUCAGAUACCGUCGUAGUCUUAACCAUAAACUAUGCCGACUAGGGAUCGGAUGGUGUUAAUUUUUUAAUGACUCAUUCGGCGCCUUAC